CGACCGGCGCACGGGUGAGUAACGCGUAUCCAACCUGCCCACCACUUGGGGAUAACCUUGCGAAAGUAAGACUAAUACCCAAUGAUAUCUCUAGAAGACAUCUGAAAGAGAUUAAAGAUUUAUCGGUGAUGGAUGGGGAUGCGUCUGAUUAGCUUGUCGGCGGGGUAACGGCCCACCAAGGCAACGAUCAGUAGGGGUUCUGAGAGGAAGGUCCCCCACAUUGGAACUGAGACACGGUCCAA
Molecule: ribosomal RNA, 242 nt
Filed under: uncultured bacterium
Lineage: Bacteria
Description: partial 16S ribosomal RNA
Rfam family: Bacterial small subunit ribosomal RNA
Source: RNAcentral